CUGAAAAGGAAUGCUUGGCGAGGAAAUGACCCCUGGAAACACUACCAGAUGGCUCCCCGGGGAGCCAGUUUGGUUUGGCAACAGAUCAGAAUCACCAACCUGGGCUAGUCACACUGGACGGGGCAGGAUCCACGGAGCUUUGGGGCAGGACAGCUGUCCUCUUUUCUAGAUGUGAAUGCAAGCAUCUACUUCUAAACUUCAAAUCGUCAAUGUGGCAAAACCAGCCAUGGGUUCCUGGCUGCAGUUCUAGAUCGUGCAGAAACAAUCCUCAUCACUACUAGAUUCUUAGCCUGCCACGACCAAGACCACACAUUGCAAUUCCAAUCAACCGGAAUUUCUCUUCUCAAAGUUCAGUGACUGGAAGUAGGAAAACAAGGCGUGACCAGAGUUGUUUCUUUCCGAGAGCAUCAAUGAAGAAGGCCUUUUCUACGGGUUUCUGCCUGUUGCAGGUUGAACGACAUCUCUAUAAAAUUCUUAUUUUGAAAUCCC
Molecule: long non-coding RNA, 489 nt
Filed under: Rattus norvegicus (Norway rat)
Lineage: Eukaryota; Metazoa; Chordata; Mammalia; Rodentia; Muridae
Description: long non-coding RNA NONRATT003726
Source: RNAcentral